Molecule: long non-coding RNA, 3203 nt
Filed under: Ooceraea biroi (clonal raider ant)
Lineage: Eukaryota; Metazoa; Arthropoda; Insecta; Hymenoptera; Formicidae
Description: uncharacterized LOC105285500, transcript variant X4
Source: RNAcentral
CAGUGAAAAACAACGUUUCGACCAGAAUUUCUGGCCCUCUUCAGGUUUCAAGUUAGUAUACUCUCAGCGUGAAACACCAUCCUUCAGUCCUUGGUGUGAGCAAUAAUUAUAGUGCAGUUUGUUCCGCCAGGUAAUAAUCAAUAGUAACAGAAUUAUGAUAUGUCGACACCACUGGCAACUUUAUUGUUCAGUGAAAAACAACGUUUCGACCAGAAUUUCUGGCCCUCUUCAGGUUUCAAGUUAGUAUACUCUCAACGUGAAACACCAUCCUUCAGUCCUUGGUGUGAGCAAUAAUUAUGGUGCAGUUUGUUCCGCCAGGUAAUAAUCAAUAGUAACAGAAUUAUGAUAUGUCGACACCACUGGCAACUUUAUUGUUCAGUGAAAAACAACGUUUCGACCAGAAUUUCUGGCCCUCUUCAGGUUUCAAGUUAGUAUACUCUCAACGUGAAACACCAUCCUUCAGUCCUUGGUGUGAGCAAUAAUUAUGGUGCAGUUUGUUCCGCCAGAUAAUAAUCAAUAGUAACAGAAUUAUGAUAUGUCGACACCACUGGCAACUUUAUUGUUCAGUGAAAAACAACGUUUUGACCAGAAUUUCUGGCCCUCUUCAGGUUUCAAGUUAGUAUACUCUCAACGUGAAACACCAUCCUUCAGUCCUUGGUGUGAGCAAUAAUUAUGGUGCAGUUUGUUCCGCCAGGUAAUAAUCAAUAGUAACAGAAUUAUGAUAUGUCGACACCACUGGCAACUUUAUUGUUCAGUGAAAAACAACGUUUUGACCAGAAUUUCUGGCCCUCUUCAGGUUUCAAGUUAGUAUACUCUCAACGUGAAACACCAUCCUUCAGUCCUUGGUGUGAGCAAUAAUUAUAGUGCAGUUUGUUCCGCCAGGUAAUAAUCAAUAGUAACAGAAUUAUGAUAUGUCGACACCACUGGCAACUUUAUUGUUCAGUGAAAAACAACGUUUUGACCAGAAUUUCUGGCCCUCUUCAGGUUUCAAGUUAGUAUACUCUCAACGUGAAACACCAUCCUUCAGUCCUUGGUGUGAGCAAUAAUUAUAGUGCAGUUUGUUCCGCCAGGUAAUAAUCAAUAGUAACAGAAUUAUGAUAUGUCGACACCACUGGCAACUUUAUUGUUCAGUGAAAAACAACGUUUUGACCAGAAUUUCUGGCCCUCUUCAGGUUUCAAGUUAGUAUACUCUCAACGUGAAACACCAUCCUUCAGUCCUUGGUGUGAGCAAUAAUUAUAGUGCAGUUUGUUCCGCCAGGUAAUAAUCAAUAGUAACAGAAUUAUGAUAUGUCGACACCACUGGCAACUUUAUUGUUCAGUGAAAAACAACGUUUUGACCAGAAUUUCUGGCCCUCUUCAGGUUUCAAGUUAGUAUACUCUCAACGUGAAACACCAUCCUUCAGUCCUUGGUGUGAGCAAUAAUUAUAGUGCAGUUUGUUCCGCCAGGUAAUAAUCAAUAGUAACAGAAUUAUGAUAUGUCGACACCACUGGCAACUUUAUUGUUCAGUGAAAAACAACGUUUUGACCAGAAUUUCUGGCCCUCUUCAGGUUUCAAGUUAAUAUACUCUCAGCGUGAAACACCAUCCUUCAGUCCUUGGUGUGAGCAAUAAUUAUGGUGCAGUUUGUUCCGCCAGAUAAUAAUCAAUAGUAACAGAAUUAUGAUAUGUCGACACCACUGGCAACUUUAUUGUUCAGUGAAAAACAACGUUUUGACCAGAAUUUCUGGCCCUCUUCAGGUUUCAAGUUAGUAUACUCUCAACGUGAAACACCAUCCUUCAGUCCUUGGUGUGAGCAAUAAUUAUAGUGCAGUUUGUUCCGCCAGGUAAUAAUCAAUAGUAACAGAAUUAUGAUAUGUCGACACCACUGGCAACUUUAUUGUUCAGUGAAAAACAACGUUUUGACCAGAAUUUCUGGCCCUCUUCAGGUUUCAAGUUAAUAUACUCUCAGCGUGAAACACCAUCCUUCAGUCCUUGGUGUGAGCAAUAAUUAUAGUGCAGUUUGUUCCGCCAGGUAAUAAUCAAUAGUAACAGAAUUAUGAUAUGUCGACACCACUGGCAACUUUAUUGUUCAGUGAAAAACAACGUUUUGACCAGAAUUUCUGGCCCUCUUCAGGUUUCAAGUAAUAAUCAAUAGUAACAGAAUUAUGAUAUGUCGACACCACUGGCAACUUUAUUGUUCAGUGAAAAACAACGUUUUGACCAGAAUUUCUGGCCCUCUUCAGGUUUCAAGUUAGUAUACUCUCAACGUGAAACACCAUCCUUCAGUCCUUGGUGUGAGCAAUAAUUAUGGUGAAAAACAACGUUUUGACCAGAAUUUCAGAAAUGUUGUUUUUCACUGAACAAUAAAGUUGCCAGUGGUAUCGACGUAUCAUAAUUCUGUUACUAUUGAUUAUUACCUGGCGGAACAAACUGCACUAUAAUUAUUUUGAUAAUCGUAUUAUGUUUUAUUAUUUAACGCAUUAAAAUGCGCAAAUCGAGUUAACGUCGUCUAGCAAGCAUCUCUCUUUUUAUAUGAUCCAAACGCUUCCACUUUAGCGAUCCGAGUCAACAAGCAUCGCGUUUAUGAGAUCGGAGUGAGAUGCGCGCAAGUGUUUUCGAGUGAUGUCAGGCGGACGUCUCUCGCGAUGGCAAACUCGCUCACGGUCCCUGUGUCGAGACAAUAAAGGACGAUUGCCGCGAAGGAGCGGGCAUUAUAUCGGACGAUUACGGCAAGCCGCCGGCGAGCUGCGUGGGGCCGCGUAAAUACGAGAUAACAUCCGAUGUUGACGUUGAAAAACAUCUCGCAACACGGCAAUGAGACCGUCGGUCAAAUGUCACGCUGUUGAAUUUAGAUAACAAGCGUUAUGUAUCGCAGCGAUCGCUACAAUCAUUUUAAUAACUGCUCUUACAAUAUCUUUUUUUAAACAAAACCGUUAAAACUUCUCACAUCGAAGCAAGAUGGGCGAUGAAACUUCUUUAUUAUUUCCAGACAUGACAACAGCCUUAUUAUAUUGAAAUACAAGAUAACUAAUGCAACAAUUUAGUUUUUUCAUGAAUGAAGUGAUUACAUGGUGUUUACUUGAACAUACAUCUUGCUACAUUUUCCUCUAUAACGUUUGAUAAAUAGUUAAUAUUUGAUAGAGAUAAUUAGGAUUAUGCAUAAGCAAAAUGUACUCUGUAAAACUUUGAAAAUUUGUUACAUUAAAUUUCUGUUUUUUUUACAGC